UGGGGAAUAUUGGGCAAUGGAGGAAACUCUGACCCAGCAACGCCGCGUGAAGGAUGAAGGUUUUCGGAUUGUAAACUUCUGUCGCGAGGGAUGAAGAAUGACGGUACCUCGUAAGAAAGCCCCGGCAAACUACGUGCCAGCAGCCGCGGUAAUACGUAGGGGGCAAGCGUUGUCCGGAAUGACUGGGCGUAAAGGGAGUGUAGGCGGCCUUUUAAGUUAUAUGUGAAAGCCCACGGCUCAACCGUGGAACUGCAUAUAAAACUGCAGGUCUUGAGUACAGUAGAGGUGGGCGGAAUUCGUGGUGUAGCGGUGAAAUGCUUAGAUAUCACGAAGAACUCCGAUUGCGAAGGCAGCACACUAGACUGGUCACUGACACUGAGGCUCGAAAGUGUGGGUAUCAAACA
Molecule: ribosomal RNA, 404 nt
Filed under: uncultured bacterium
Lineage: Bacteria
Description: bacterial SSU rRNA
Rfam family: Bacterial small subunit ribosomal RNA
Source: RNAcentral